AACCUUAUGGACCUGCGGGCGUAUACCUGCGGAGGGAUCAUUAAUAAUCGGUUGGGGGGAAACUCCCAGCGUCUGUAUCCUCUGAUUACUUUAUUCUUGUUGCUUUGGCGGGCCGGGCAUUCGUGUUCCAGCGGUCAGGUGUUAGCCUGCCUGCUGAGCGCCCGCCGAAGACCCAACUAAACUCGUUAUUAAACAUACUGUCUGAAUACAAACAAAAUAAGCAAAAACUUUCAACAAUGG
Molecule: unclassified non-coding RNA, 240 nt
Filed under: soil metagenome
Description: partial contains 5.8S ribosomal RNA, internal transcribed spacer 2, and large subunit ribosomal RNA
Source: RNAcentral